CAGGCCUAACACAUGCAAGUCGAGCGGAUGAUGGGAGCUCGCUCCUGGAUUCAGCGGCGGACGGGUGAGUAAUGCCUAGGAAUCUGCCUGGUAGUGGGGGACAACGUUUCGAAAGGAACGCUAAUACCGCAUACGUCCUACGGGAGAAAGCAGGGGACCUUCGGGCCUUGCGCUAUCAGAUGAGCCUAGGUUGGAUUAGCUUGUUGGUGAGGUAAUGGCUCACCAAGGCGACGAUCCGUAACUGGUCUGAGAGGAUGAUCAGUCACACUGGAACUGAGACACGGUCCAGACUCCUACGGGAGGCAGCAGUGGGGAAUAUUGGACAAUGGGCGAAAGCCUGAUCCAGCCAUGCCGCGUGUGUGAAGAAGGUCUUCGGAUUGUAAAGCACUUUAAGUUGGGAGGAAGGGUUGUAGAUUAAUACUCUGCAAUUUUGACGUUACCGACAGAAUAAGCACCGGCUAACUCUGUGCCAGCAGCCGCGGUAAUACAGAGGGUGCAAGCGUUAAUCGGAAUUACUGGGCGUAAAGCGCGCGUAGGUGGUUUGUUAAGUUGGAUGUGAAAGCCCCGGGCUCAACCUGGGAACUGCAUCCAAAACUGGCAAGCUAGAGUACGGUAGAGGGUGGUGGAAUUUCCUGUGUAGCGGUGAAAU
Molecule: ribosomal RNA, 649 nt
Filed under: uncultured bacterium
Lineage: Bacteria
Description: bacterial SSU rRNA
Rfam family: Bacterial small subunit ribosomal RNA
Source: RNAcentral